RNAcentral lists this ribosomal RNA (423 nucleotides) under Veillonella sp. FHM104. RNAcentral describes it as "bacterial SSU rRNA". It matches the Rfam family "Bacterial small subunit ribosomal RNA", at positions 930 to 1352 of the family's 1533-position model. Lineage: Bacteria; Bacillati; Bacillota; Negativicutes; Veillonellales; Veillonellaceae. The record is from RNAcentral.
CGGUGGAGUAUGUGGUUUAAUUCGACGCAACGCGAAGAACCUUACCAGGUCUUGACAUUGAUGGACAGAACUAGAGAUAGUUCCUCUUCUUCGGAAGCCAGAAAACAGGUGGUGCACGGUUGUCGUCAGCUCGUGUCGUGAGAUGUUGGGUUAAGUCCCGCAACGAGCGCAACCCCUAUCUUAUGUUGCCAGCACUUCGGGUGGGAACUCAUGAGAGACUGCCGCAGACAAUGCGGAGGAAGGCGGGGAUGACGUCAAAUCAUCAUGCCCCUUAUGACCUGGGCUACACACGUACUACAAUGGGAGUUAAUAGACGGAAGCGAGAUCGCGAGAUGGAGCAAACCCGAGAAACACUCUCUCAGUUCGGAUCGUAGGCUGCAACUCGCCUACGUGAAGUCGGAAUCGCUAGUAAUCGCAGGUCAG